RNAcentral lists this unclassified non-coding RNA (307 nucleotides) under plant metagenome. RNAcentral's name for it is "partial contains 5.8S ribosomal RNA, internal transcribed spacer 2, and large subunit ribosomal RNA". The stretch from base 1 to 105 matches the Rfam family "5.8S ribosomal RNA", at positions 50 to 154 of the family's 154-position model. The record is from RNAcentral.
GAAAUGCGAUAAGUAAUGUGAAUUGCAGAAUUCAGUGAAUCGUCGAAUCUUUGAACGCACAUUGCGCCCGCCAGCACUCUGGCGGGCAUGCCUGUUCGAGCGUCAUUUCAACCCUCAGAACCCCUUGCGGGAUCUGGCGUUGGGGAUUGGCAUCCAGCCAGCCCCGAAAUCUAGUGGCGGUCCCUCCGCGACCUCCCCUGUGCAGUAGCGAUACCUCGCAGCGGGACAGCGGUCUGACCACGCCGUAAAACCCCCAACUUCUCAAGGUUGACCUCGAAUCAGGUAGGAAUACCCGCUGAACUUAAGC